Molecule: ribosomal RNA, 253 nt
Filed under: uncultured bacterium
Lineage: Bacteria
Description: partial 16S ribosomal RNA
Rfam family: Bacterial small subunit ribosomal RNA
Source: RNAcentral
UACGUAGGUGGCUAGCGUUGUCCGGAAUCAUUGGGCGUAAAGAGCGUGUAGGCGGCCCGGUAAGUCCGCUGUGAAAGUCGGGGGCUCAACCCUCGAAUGCCGGUGGAUACUGUCGGGCUAGAGUGCGGAAGAGGCGAGUGGAAUUCCUGGUGUAGCGGUGAAAUGCGCAGAUAUCAGGAGGAACACCGAUUGCGAAGGCAGCUCGCUGGGACGUCACUGACGCUGAGACGCGAAAGCGUGGGGAGCAAACAGG